GCCAGGCAUGGUGGCCCAUGCCUGUAACCCCAGUGGCUCAGGAGGCUGAGGCAGGAGGAUCAUGAGUUCAAGGCUAGCUUCAACUACUUAGCAAGGUCCUAAGCAACUUAGCGAGACCCCGUCUCUA
Molecule: small RNA, 127 nt
Filed under: Marmota monax (woodchuck)
Lineage: Eukaryota; Metazoa; Chordata; Mammalia; Rodentia; Sciuridae
Source: RNAcentral